CCCUUAGAUGUUCUGGGCCGCACGCGCGCUACACUGAUGCAUUCAACAAGCCUAGCCUUGACCGAGAGGUCCGGGUAAUCUUUGAAACUGCAUCGUGAUGGGGCUAGAUUAUUGCAAUUAUUAAUCUUCAACGAGGAAUGCCUAGUAAGCGUGAUUCAUCAAAUCGCGUUGAUUACGUCCCUGCCCUUUGUACACACCGCCCGUCGCUCCUACCGAUUGAAUGUGUUGGUGAGGAGCUCGGAUUGGCAGCAGUUGGUGGUUCGCCACCGGCUAUUGCUGAGAAGUCCUCCAAACCUCCCCAUUUAGAGGAAGGAGAAGUCGUAACA
This 326-nucleotide ribosomal RNA is filed under the name uncultured eukaryote. Its description in RNAcentral is "partial 18S ribosomal RNA". It matches the Rfam family "Eukaryotic small subunit ribosomal RNA", at positions 1470 to 1796 of the family's 1831-position model. The record is from RNAcentral.